CACGACUACAUUAGAUACCCCUGUAGUCCUAGGCGUAAAUGAUGCGAGUUAAGUGUGGGGGCAUCUACGAGAUGGCCCUGUGCUGUAGGGUAGCCGUUAAACUCGCUGCCUGGGAGUACGGUCGCAAGGCUGAAACUUAAAGGAAUUGGCGGGGGAGCACAACAACGGGUGGAGCUUGCGGUUUAAUUGGAUUCAACGCCGGAAAUCUUACCGGGACCGACAGCAACAUGAAGGCCAGGCUGAAGACUUUACCGGAUUAGCUG
This 263-nucleotide ribosomal RNA is filed under the name uncultured archaeon. Its description in RNAcentral is "partial 16S ribosomal RNA". It matches the Rfam family "Archaeal small subunit ribosomal RNA", at positions 718 to 982 of the family's 1478-position model. The record is from RNAcentral.